Long non-coding RNA from Jaculus jaculus (lesser Egyptian jerboa), 411 nucleotides. RefSeq lists it as uncharacterized. The transcript has 3 exons. Lineage: Eukaryota; Metazoa; Chordata; Mammalia; Rodentia; Dipodidae. The record is from RefSeq and is a predicted model, not a curated record.
CUCUCGUGACCUAAUCACUCACCGGAGGGAACACUCUUGGACUGUAGCUGUCAACUGUGCAAUUCAGGUAGAAACCCCAAGGCACACAGAGAAUCAAUAACUAGGUGAAACUAUCAAGGAAUGGAGCUGGGUUUGGAACUAGCGAGGCUAACUAUUAGCGCUUGUUUGUCCACAACAACUUCCCUGGAGAUGGAACAAUGAAUGACACACAAGAAACUCAACACAUCAAAGACUGCUGAGAACUAAGACACACUCCACGACUUAAGAAGCUGAAAAAGUAGUAGACCCAAGGCUCAGCUCUUCCACUGACUUGCCAGAGAACCUUAGUGGUCACGGAGAAGCCUAGAGGACGAAGCAAAUAUCCUGGGGAAAUUGGAGAAGAAAAGAUGUUGAACGCUGGGAGGAUGCCAA